CCCCCUCCCGGCGUGCCGCGCCCAGACCCCCGCGCCAGGGAAACUGAGGCCGCGGGGUCGGUGACCGCCCAAGGGCACGCCGCCUGAGGCCUUGGAGACCUGCUCAGGCCUCGUUCCAGAAAGGGAAACUGAGGCCCGCGAGGCGGAAGGACACGUCCAAGGUCACUGAGCCCAGCCCCGGGGACCAGAGCCUCCUCCGCGCUCCACCUUCGCAAGGGAUCUUCCCCGCGCGCAGGGUUCACCCGCCUGGAUGCCACAGCCAGGCGCAGGGAAGCGAGACCGCCCCCGUGCCAGCCUCCUUCCUUUCUAGAUCACUCUCCCUGGUGGAUGGGGCGGGACAGCCAGACCUGAUGACCCCCAGCACUUCUGUCCUACUUCGUUCCAGCUCUGUCUUCUGCUGCUGGGCAAGACCCCCAAUCCCUCCCUUGCUGCCAACCGGUGUGAGACCUUGGGGUGCCCGCACCUUGGGGUGCCCUGGGUGGGGUGUCCCAGGGAGAGGAUGCACAGCCCCCUCUGUGGGCCCAGAGAUGCCCGUGGGGCACUUCCAAAGAGCACCGGCAACGUGCCGUUUCAUCUAAUGGACACCCCAGCCCUCUGCCCUUCUGCCCUCCCAGAUUGGGACCCCGAGACACCAGUUCCUGAGCCUCCUAGCACUUGCCAAAUAUGAACCCAUGGACUCUUGAGACUUGGCUGCUGUCACUUCUUCAUCCCACUCUGGGGAAACUGAGGCAGGCUCCAGCAGGCUGUUAACAAGAACGCCCCCCAGCGGCACGGAGCGCACACUGCCGCGCUCAUUAAAUGCUUACAGAUGGAGGGAUGAAUACUUAAGUACUUACAAAGAAAGCUUACCAAGCUGCUUCACCCCCCACGCUCCAGGAAGCCCCGCUCCUGCCCCAGGCUCUGGCGGCCAGAAGCUCCCGUACGUCCCGUCUGGACCCAGUGCAGAGCGCGGCAGGAAGCAGAUGGACAGGGCCCUGGCCUCCCGGGGGACACAGAGCCCGGCAACCCAGUGCGCACGUGUGCCUUCUGACUUCGGGCGAGGAGGGAGGCUGCACCUGAGCCCCGGCAGCUUCCCCAGCGAGGGGCCAGCUCGUCAUCACCUCCUCCCCCGCCACAGCCCAGCCACGACACGGGUGCCCAGCCAGUGUUGCUUCGUGAUCUCCACAAAGUGUGAGUGGUGGGUGCCCCCAAGGAACCCCAGGGUGCAGGGAGGCUGGGCCAGCUGUGUCCAGGGCCAGGCUGGUGCAGCCCCAAGAGCCCUCUGUAGAGGAGGGGCUCCGCUGGCCCCUAGAGCCUGCUCCAUGGCAAGUGCGUAGCGCCCUCUGGUGACGGCCAGGGGGAAGGCCGGGUCCGCAGCUCCUCCAGCCCAGCGGGUUCAGCUCUUCCCGGUGACCUGGGGGUGGGAAGGGGCUGUAUCACGGACACCCGUUCUGCCCACAGAAGCCCAGGGAAUACUUGCAGCUGACAGUGUGGCCGCCAGAGCUCAGCGGGGCUGGGGGCACCCCGGUCAGCACCACUUCAGAGCCUGGAGUCUCAAACUGGCAGUUCGCGGGCCAGGCUUGACCUCGCGGGCGUCGUUACGCUGGAGUUUUUGCCCACAUUGAAAAUUAAGAAUUUCACAUGCAAGCCCCAAUUUCUGGCUGCUCCGGAGACUUGGGAAUAGCUGGCUCAGAGCUCCUUGGCCUCUGGUUCCUCCUGACCCCAGAGGGGAGGUAUGGGAUGACCACACUCCCUAGGAGUGGCUGCGGGGUCACUCCUCUGUACCAAGCAGGAGGCCUAGAUGGCACGGGCCAGAGCCCCCAGGUUUGGCGAGGACGAAGCUCAUGAGGCCCUACCUCCUGUGAUCUGCUCCCAUGGAGUGUUCCCCAGACCCUCAGCCCCACCCAUGUUUGUUGCAGUUGUCAGGCUGGGCUGUGCAAACAGGGACUCCCUUUCUCCUGGGGGCCAGCUCAGAAGGGCCACCUCCCUACCACAGCACUGCCCUUCGGGGCUUUCUAGGCCUCAGUGGCCCCCCUUCAGCUGGACAAAGUCCCAAGGGGCUGGCUCCACUACGGACACCUGCUGGGAUCCAUCAUGAGGGCCUGCCCCACCCCCUCACCUCCCACUCAAACCACAGGGAGCUUCCUGCCCAGGGCAGGUGGGUGCCAGGCAGCUGUGGGUGGGGGUUGUCUGUUCUGUCCUGGGGGGCCCAUGGGAAGGAUUCCCAGGUGCCCCUGUCCGGUCCUCUCUGACGGCAAGAAACAAACUCAGAGGGAAGGGCUGCUGUGUGGAGGGAACCAGCUGGUGAGCCCCUCCCAUUCCCAGACCUGCCACAGGCCCGGCCCCUCUGCCCCCCCCCCCCAUCUGCACCC
This is a long non-coding RNA of Felis catus (domestic cat), 2351 nucleotides long. RefSeq lists it as uncharacterized. The record is from RefSeq and is a predicted model, not a curated record. The transcript has 3 exons. Lineage: Eukaryota; Metazoa; Chordata; Mammalia; Carnivora; Felidae.